Non-coding RNA from Pristionchus pacificus, 61 nucleotides. NCBI's taxonomy places the organism in Eukaryota, Metazoa, Nematoda, Chromadorea, Rhabditida, Neodiplogasteridae. The record is from Rfam.
UCUUCAUUUUGCACACUCUCUCAUCUGUCAGAGAGGCGAGAGAGUGUGUGAAAUGAAGAGA